This is a long non-coding RNA of Humulus lupulus (European hop), 3775 nucleotides long. RefSeq lists it as uncharacterized. The record is from RefSeq and is a predicted model, not a curated record. The transcript has 4 exons. NCBI's taxonomy places the organism in Eukaryota, Viridiplantae, Streptophyta, Magnoliopsida, Rosales, Cannabaceae.
AUACUGGGGAUGUAUUAAUUCGAAAAAUUUCAUUAUUAAUGCUUAAUAGUGUCUAUUAUUAAAAAAAAAAAAAAAAAACCUCCACUAUUAACUAUUUUAUUUGCAUGCUAAACAUUCAUCAUCUACCCAAAAUACCCCUCCCAUUUUUCUACCCAAUUUUUUUUACAUCUCUCUAUACACUCGGUUUCUCUCUCCCACACAAGAAACCCCAACUUCCCAUCGAACCCAACCCCUGUCGAGCCCCAACCCCAUCGAACCCCAACCCCUGUCGAGUCCCAUGCCCUGUCGAUCCCCAACCUGUGACGAGCCCCAGCCUCUAUCGAGCCCAACCCUCGUCGAGAGCAUCUCAGGUGACCCACGGCAAACGAAUGCAAUUGGAACCUGAUGUCCCACGACAACACGAUUUCCUCCCAAUCAAAUCAAAGGUUAGAUCUUGAAUACCCACACCCUAUUUAAUCAAAAAACAAGUCUUUCAUUUGGAAUAUGGGCUCUGUGAUCUGUGGAAGGGAAUGGGUUCGUCGAUAUUGUGCAUUUUUUUUUCUGGGUUCAUGCUAGUUGCUCGAUAGGUUCGAUACUAGUUUGAUAGUAGGCUCGAUAGGGGCAGCAUGAAUGGUUUGAUAAGUGCUCUAUAGGAGCUUGAUAGGAUGAGUGUAAAUUGCUCGAUGGAUCUAUGGUAUUAGAUAAAAGGGGCUCGAUAGGUUCGAUAGUAGGCUCGAUUAUUGCUGGAUGGUUAUUUAUGUAGAAAGAUUUUGCUUUUCUCGAUAGGCUCGACACUGGCUCGAUAGUCUCUAUAGUUUUAGGUUGUUGAUAUUGCUCGAUAGUUUCUCGAUAGUGGCUCGAUAGGGUAUGUUACAGCUCGAUUAUAGCUCGAUAGAGCUUGAUGACAACUUAUUUAAGUUUUUUGAUGAUAUUUUUUUUUAAUUUUUUCCCGAUUCUAUUUAACAUUCUGUUUCUUACCAAUUUUUUUCAUGUGUUGUUGCAGAUGCCUAAGUUGCUUGUUCCGUUUAGUGAUCACUUUCCUGGUCGAGUCACAUAUCGGGGUAGUAGCACUUUAAAUCACAAUAAGACUAGGUUUGUGGACCUUGGGUUGAUAGAAAGGGCUAAGGAAUCCCCUUUCAAGCAGUUCUUUUUGGCUUCGAAGUUUAAUUUUUCUGGAGUUUUGGUGCAUCAACUAUUUUUGAGGAAAAUCGCCAGUAACAAUGAAGAUGAAGUACAUUUCUUCUUGGGGUCGAAGUCUUGUAGAUUUGGCAUGGGAGAGUUUGCCCUGGUGACGAUGUUGAAUUUCAGUACCUUCUCAUCACUAGAAGAGUUGGAAGAGCGUAAUCUCAGCGACCGCUUGAUAAAGGAGUGUUUCAAUGAUGCUGAGAAAGUAAAGUUCUCACAGGUGGACCAUGUUUUCAAGACUUGUACUAUUAUGGAAGAUGUGUACAAGCUUGGUCUAUGUUUGUUGGUUGAGGGGGUUCUAAAUGCCAUAGAGGGAAAGUUGCACAUAUGGCGAGAUAUUCUGAAGAUGGUUGAGGACGUAGAGUACUUUUUCAACUAUCCAUAAGGGAAGUACUCUUAUGGGAGGCUAUUGCAGUCUUGUAAGAAGGACAUGGUGAAGCAAAAUGCCAACUAUGACAACAAGAAGGAUGCGAAGGUGCAGCAAGAGUCCAAGUACAGUAUGUAUGGUUAUGCCCUGGCCUUACAGUAUUGGGCAAAUGAGGCUAUCCAGCAGCUUGUGACAGAGUUUGUUGUGCGCUCGGGAAACAUGGUCCCGAGGAUGCUUAGUUGGUCGCAUCGGAGGAACAAGGAUUUUACCAAGUCUGUCAUCUCACCGAUGUUAUCGAAGAAGAAUUUGAUCGUCCUUCCAAUGUUGAAGCCUUGACCAGCAGAAAUAGACUAUUAUUUAUCGUUGACAGAGGGAGAUCUUCCCCUUUAUCCCAGGCUUGGCCAGGAUCCCAAGGAGGAAGAUGAGGAGGAGGAUGCGACUUUUGCGAAAGUCGCCGAGAUAGUUUCUCAGGCAGCCAAGAUAUUUGAUGAUGUUGCCCCGGAGGAGGAGGUUGUAGGUCCCACCCCUCCUGUUGCCCCAGCUACAGCCCCAACCCAGCCUCAGCACCAGCCCUAGCACCAACACCAGCCCCAGCACCUGAGCUCGCCGAGUUGAUUGAACGGUUGGACAGAGUCGAGGAUCGACAGGAGACCCUCCUGAAGAACCAGUCAGUGAUCCUGGGCGCAAUCAGUCAAAUCCUGACGUUUAUUAAGGAGAAACUGAGGGGCUCCAAGGAAGAUUCAGACUCAGAGUCACUGGAUAUUCCUCUGGACUAUGUUGAUGAUCCAACCACGCCUCCUACCAUCAUUGUGACACCUAAUGCUGCGACUCCGAGAGUCGUUAUUGUCAACCCUGAGGAUGUUGCUAGGGUUUGGUUUUAGAGGACUAGACGCCAAAAACGCAAGCCAGAUUGGUUUGAGGACUACACCGAUCUCACGAGGAAAAGACCUCGCACUGAUGCAACUGCACCAGAAGAGGAGGAUACACAUGAGGCUACACAGGUGCUGGACCCUCUCAAGAAGCCAGAUCGCAAACAGUAUAAGGCAGUGUCCAAGUGGCUGCUUGGAGACAUCCCCAACAAGACCCCGAGGGAUGUAAAGACUGAGAAUCAUGGUCCAGCAUGGUUUUUGACAUGGAAGACACCGCAGUCGUGGCUCAAUGAUGGGCAUAUUGAUGUGGCAGAACACAUGCUUCGUAUGCGUCGCAAGUAUUUUCCCAACACAUAUCGCCAGAAUGCUGUUGUGAUGAACAUUUAUUUCUCACAAGUGAUACCUGCCCGAUAUGAUCAGUACAAGAAAAUUAACAACAAAACAAAGUACACAUGAGAUUCUGACGUUAUGUCCAUGUUGACCGGCAUCGAGCAGCAAUUUCUGGCAUCUUGGGAAGGAGUUGAGGAUGUAUAUUGGUGCCAGAACUAUGAACAACAACAUUGGUUUUCCAUUGAGGCAUCUAUUUCUAGUUGGACUCUCACUGUUUAUGAUUCAGAAAACUCGGUGAUUAGUAAGCUGGAGGAAAUUAUGAAUCCAUGGUGCUUUUUUCUUCCUUCUUUGUUGAUGCAGAGUAAAUUAUCCACUGAUAGCUUGAUGUUGAAGAUUCAUGCAGUAGGAACGAGGCCGCAUCAGUUCACAUGGCGUCACAAACAGUAACAUGAGCUCACUCAGUCAAAGAGAAGGGAUUAUGGUGUGUAUGUUGUCAAGCAUAUUGAUCAUCUCAUAGUCGGCCUUCCAUUGGACCCAUCUGCAAUGAAAAUAUAGAGGUGUUCAGGAACAAGUGGACCAUAGACUUGUGGUAUCAAAAUUUGUUACCUUGACGAUUGUAUAUAUACAGGGUCUUCACAUGAGUAGUUUUAUGUUCACUUUUUUUUAAACUUUUAUAUGGCUGUUAUCGAGCUAUAUCGAACAUUAUCGAACUAAUAUCAAGUUAUAUCGAACUAAUAUCGAGCUUCAAUCGAGUAAUAUCAUUUUUAUGUCCAUUAUCUAGUUGUUAUCGAACUAAUAUCGAGCCAUAUCGAACCAUUAUCAAACUACUAUCGAGCUAUAUCGAACCAUUAUCAAACUAAUAUCGAGCUAAAAUUUGAAGUCAGUUUAAAAGCUAACAACCAUAUUAUUGAGUUCAAAUUGAGCUACUAUCGAGUUAACAUCGAGUUUAUGUCGAGCUACAAUCGAGCUUAACAUAACUUCUAAGAAAAAUAAAAGAAAAAAGAAGGGAAAACAAGCUAGGUUAUUAAUACAACAAGUCCAAAUG